This 490-nucleotide ribosomal RNA is filed under the name uncultured bacterium. Its description in RNAcentral is "bacterial SSU rRNA". It matches the Rfam family "Bacterial small subunit ribosomal RNA", at positions 30 to 504 of the family's 1533-position model. The record is from RNAcentral.
CGAACGCUGGCGGCGUGCUUAACACAUGCAAGUCAAGGAGAAAGAUAGACUUCGGUUUAUUGAUUAAACUGGCGGACGGGUGAGUAACGCGUAGGCAACCUGCCCUUGUGACCGGCAUAACAUCGAGAAAUUGGUGCUAAUACCGGAUAACAUUUUGAAUACACCUGUAUUUAAGAUCAAAGGUGCUUUUGUAUUGCACAGGGAUGGGCCUGCGUUCCAUUAGCUAGUUGGUGAGGUGAAGGCUUACCAAGGCGACGAUGGAUAGCUGAUCUGAGAGGGUGAUCAGCCACACUGGGACUGAGAUACGGCCCAGACUCCUACGGGAGGCAGCAGUGAGGAAUAUUGCGCAAUGGAGGCAACUCUGACGCAGCAACGCCGCGUGGGGGAUGAAGCACUAUGGUGUGUAAACCCCUGUAGGUAGGGACGAACGACAUAUAUUCGUAAGGGUAUGUGUGUGACGGUACCUUCAAAGUAAGCACCGGCUAACUCC